RNAcentral lists this ribosomal RNA (498 nucleotides) under uncultured bacterium. RNAcentral describes it as "partial 16S ribosomal RNA". It matches the Rfam family "Bacterial small subunit ribosomal RNA", at positions 30 to 523 of the family's 1533-position model. The record is from RNAcentral.
AUUGAACGCUGGCGGCAUGCCUUACACAUGCAAGUCGAACGGUAACAGGUCUUCGGAUGCUGACGAGUGGCGAACGGGUGAGUAAUACAUCGGAACGUGCCUAGUAGUGGGGGAUAACUACUCGAAAGAGUGGCUAAUACCGAAUGAGAUCUACGGAUGAAAGCAGGGGAUCGCAACACCUUGUGCUCCUAGUGCGGCCGAUGGCAGAUUAGGUAGUUGGUGGGAUAAAAGCUUGCCAAGCCGAAGAUCUGUAGCUGGUCUGAGAGGACGAUCAGCCACACUGGGACUGAGACACUGCCCAGACUCCUACGGGAGGCAGCAGUGGGGAAUUUUGGACAAUGGGCGAAAGCCUGAUCCAGCAAUGCCGCGUGCAGGAUGAAGGCCUUCGGGUUGUAAACUGCUUUUGUACGGAACGAAAAGCCCUGGGUUAAUACCCUGGGGUCAUGACGGUACCGUAAGAAUAAGCACCGGCUAACUACGUGCCAGCAGCCGCGGUAA